This is a long non-coding RNA of Colletes gigas, 369 nucleotides long. RefSeq lists it as uncharacterized. The record is from RefSeq and is a predicted model, not a curated record. NCBI's taxonomy places the organism in Eukaryota, Metazoa, Arthropoda, Insecta, Hymenoptera, Colletidae. The transcript has 3 exons.
GUGACUGUGAGAUCGGUGCUUUUAUCGGUUGAGAAUCGCGUAUUAUUAAUUCGUUUUAUGAAGAUUAAAUUACGUAUAUUCUCUGCCCGCUACCCUGCUCUUACGUAGAUGUAAAUUAUCGUGAAAUCUAUAAUCAGAUAUGAUCGACGUAUAAAAUCAAUGUCGUUUGGUACAUUCAUUGAGCUGUAAAGUUAAAAUUGGAUACUGUAACGAUAAGUGUUACCAGAAGCCUAGGCUCAGACACGGAUUAUGGGGGUCUUAUCCUUUCAGAUAAUGAAAUAAAUGUUUGUAAACACUUGGCGAAAAAAAUUAUUUACGAUUUGUUAAUGCUAUUUAAACGAAUUAAACCGUUUAAAAUUAUAUAGAAGU